Molecule: long non-coding RNA, 548 nt
Organism: Haliotis rufescens (red abalone)
Lineage: Eukaryota; Metazoa; Mollusca; Gastropoda; Lepetellida; Haliotidae
Exons: 3
Source: RefSeq, a predicted model, not a curated record
CUUGAGAAUUAUCAAUGGAUCAGAAAGUAUACGGUAACUUCAAAUCUAGCUUUCAUGACCUGCGACCCUUCGCCAUAUUGUUAGAGUGUCACGAUAGUGUCAGGCCAGUGUGAAGCUUCCGUGUCUCACAGAAAACACAUCAACAUGGAUGAAGCGAACACUCAACAGGGGACCUUCAGUGUAUCUGGGAUGAUGCUAGACAUGGAUUUCAGAGGACAGCACACCGUUACAGUAACAGAUCGAAGUGGCCACAGUUUGAACUUUCAACUUUUCCAAGGGGUACAUUACACACCUAUGUUUAAAGUCGAUCAACUUCAACAAAUCAGAGGAUUCAACAUGAGGCUAGAUGACAUAUACUUCUCUGGAUAUCCUCGUAUAGGGACAAACUGGACAUUCGAAAUGACAAGCAUGCUUCUUAAUGGUAAAGCUGAAACCAUCCAAAAAGCCAAGGAUCUCAUGGAAUAAACUCCUCAUGACGAACUAGCCCAGCUGCCAUCACCACGCAUCGUCAACUCUCACAUGAAGCUGUCCGACUCUCCAGAUGAUGU